AAAGUCGUAACAAGGUUUCCGUAGGUGAACCUGCGGAAGGAUCAUUAAUGAAACUUCAAAGUCGGCCAAAGGUUGUUGCUGGUGAUUAUUCACAUGUGCACGCUUUUGGUCGCAUCCACACACACCUGUGCAUCUAUGACUCGAGGUUGUAAUGACUGAGAGUAACUUUUACACACUCUUGUAUGUAAUGGAAUGUCUUUUUGUGCUAUAAUGUACAAUGUAAACAACUUUCAACAACGGAUCUCUUGGCUCUC
Molecule: unclassified non-coding RNA, 254 nt
Filed under: Basidiomycota sp.
Lineage: Eukaryota; Fungi; Basidiomycota
Description: partial contains small subunit ribosomal RNA, internal transcribed spacer 1, and 5.8S ribosomal RNA
Rfam family: Eukaryotic small subunit ribosomal RNA (bases 1-47)
Source: RNAcentral